AUCCUAAGUUCUACCCCACUCUCACUAACUUAUAUUUUAGGAUCUUUUAACCUAUGCUCUAAUAUUACUUAAUCUAUCAUGCCCUGACCCAAUAACUCAAGUUGGGCACACGACAAAUGACUGUACGUUCUAGGGUUUAAUCCCCUUAAACAUGCAAGGCCUACCUUUCGCCAAAACAUAAUUAUCUUAAUUUAACUCAAACAGUGGUAAAAAUAAUUUUCUACUAUCUUUAUUUAAUAGAAAAUAAAGUCUCUAUGACUGAUAACAAACU
RNAcentral lists this long non-coding RNA (271 nucleotides) under Elaeis guineensis (African oil palm). RNAcentral describes it as "long non-coding RNA (EGUI_LNC018452)". The record is from RNAcentral. Lineage: Eukaryota; Viridiplantae; Streptophyta; Magnoliopsida; Arecales; Arecaceae.